AACAUCAGACAAUCUAAAGCAACAAUGAAAUAUUUUGCCAUUCUAACCAUUGCUCUUGUCUUAACUGGGGCCAACGCCGGCUUCUUGGAUUCAUUCAAAUCCACUCUUAGUUCCAUUGGUGAUAACAUCAAAAACGUAUACAAUGGAGUUAAGCCCCUUCUCAGCAGUGCUGUUAGUAAACUUGUCGGAGAAUUGAAAACAACUGGAUCCCAAAUCUUAGCCCAGGGUGCACAAGCUCUUCUUGGUAGUCUUUCUGGAGGCACAACCACCACCCGUGAUGUUGCUCUUCUUGAUAAAGUUGGCCAAUUCGUCAAGAAUGGCGAAGAUAUGAUCUCAACUCUCUCCCACACCAUUGGAAAUCUUUUCAACGGUGCUGUUGCCAAGCUCACCGAUUUAGCAGGAAAACUUGGAAACGCACAACUCUUCGGACAACCCAUCAGCAAAUUCAUCAGUGAAAUCGAAGAAGUUGUUUCAAGCCACAACCUUCUCCAGAGCUCCAUCCUUAAACAAUUGAUUGAACAACCAGCUAAAUUGUUGUCAAGUGCUGCCCAACAUCUAAUGGGACACAAGAGAAGUGCAAUCAGUGAUCUUUUGUCCUCUAUCGGACAAACAUUGGCCUCCACCUUCAAGCCAGCCAUUGAUACCGUCACCAAGCACAUUACCAAUUUGGGAGCAACUUUGAAAAAUGCCGGUACCGCUCUUUUCGGAGCCGUCAAGCCCACCAUUGAUGCUUUGACUGGAAAACUCACCGAUCACGUCAACAACUUGAAACAAGUCGGAACUGAACUUUUAGGACAUGGAAAGAAUGCCCUCAGUGCUCUCACUGAUGCUGUUACUGAUAUUCUUGGACAAACCUUCCACAACGCCCAACCCACCAUCCAGAAAGCUAUCGACACCGCCAAACAAGCAGGUAAAGAUACCAUUGGCACCCUUUUGGGAGGAGGAAACUAAAAAAUAAAUUAGUUGCUUAAUA
Molecule: long non-coding RNA, 973 nt
Organism: Patella vulgata (common limpet)
Lineage: Eukaryota; Metazoa; Mollusca; Gastropoda; Patellidae
Exons: 7
Source: RefSeq, a predicted model, not a curated record